UCAAAAAAAGCUGGAAGCAAAGAUACAAGAAGACUGUUUGAGAGACAAUAAACAGAUCAAUUUGACUUGCAUAUGAGUAAAAAAAAAAAGUCCUAAGAAUCUUGAGUCUCCUUAAAUGUCAGGCAAGAGAAUCUGGGCUUUGAACCAAAUAGUGUGCAGAGUUUGAUAGCAUAUAAGCAGGUGAUUUGUUUCAAACUGUCUUAACAGGACCACUUAGAGCAGAUUUAAACCAGGCCAGCCUCUUUCUGGGCUAACUUUUCCCCUUCUUGUUGGCCCUGUUUUCAAAAAAUUCUCUUGGCAGAAUUAUUAGAGCAGAAACUAAGGGCAGAAAUUAUAGAAUCUGUCCUUUUUCUAAUAGAACCAGGAAAGAGGAGGCAAAAGUGAAUAAAAUGGUAAGAUUUAAGGUGUUAGAGAAAGAUGAAAUAAGGGUUUAAUCUUUCAAGGACUUGGUAGUCAACAUUUACCAUGUGUACUAUGGGAAUUGAAAAUAUGCCACUCCCAAUUAUACUUCUUUGGCAUAUUUUGAGAUGGAUUUUAGAGGAAGGGCAGACACAGGAAUAACUAUGCAAAGUUGUUCCUUUGGAAAAAAAAAAUUUACGCCUAUCUACAUGAAUAAAGUAUAAAGUUUGUGGCAAACAGUGGCAUUCUCUGAGACCUCCUUAUCUGCCUAAAGGUGACCUAAGGAAGCUCAUUUCACAGGAUAGGAGACUAGAGAUCCAAAACCCUGCCCAGAUGGAGAUUGCUACAGGCUGUCACCUAUUCUUUUGAAUGCAGUUCUGAGAUUACCAGAGAGUCAUCUUUAUCUGCAUGAUACAACAAACUUUUAUUCAUUGUACAUUCUUCCCCUCACCCUCCCAUAAGCUGUAUCUGUCUGUUCCCAGAAUUCCCAAGCAUCUAUUCCUCUCUGUAGCUCAGGAUAUUUUAUAAGCUUCAAUCAUUUGAUCUUUCUUUGAGUCUUAUAUUUCAUGAGGCUCCCAUGCACAUGCAUGUAAUAAAUAAUACACAUCUUUUCCUGGCAACCGACCUACUGUCUGUUUAUUCCAGAGACUCAGAUUAUUGAGGUUUUAAAGACUAGAAGGGAAUUUUUAACUCCAUUUCACUACCAAGCACUACCAUAGGCCCAAAGAGGGGAACAGCAGUCAUACUCCUUGCUGGCAUGGAACCUAGCAGAAUAAGAGUGCAGGAAUAAAAAGUUGCGCUGCUUUUGAGGCCCAUCUUCCUUCCAAAAGAUGGAAAUAACUUGAAUGUCUUUAUAGUCUCCAGGAUAUAAAUUCUACAACUUUCUGCACUAUAGACUUAUCCUGGACUUUAUACCUGUAUUUAUUAAUGACAGCUGACUAAUCUUUAAAGCAUGGUGACAAACAAGAUUUCUCAGAAUGCUGAGAGUUUUGCAAUAUUUAUGAGACCAUCUAAAAUUACAGAAGUAGUUCAAAUUCCACAUUUUCCUAACAUCUGGAACUAAG
RNAcentral lists this long non-coding RNA (1463 nucleotides) under Marmota monax (woodchuck). The record is from RNAcentral. Lineage: Eukaryota; Metazoa; Chordata; Mammalia; Rodentia; Sciuridae.